Molecule: long non-coding RNA, 999 nt
Filed under: Oryza brachyantha (malo sina)
Lineage: Eukaryota; Viridiplantae; Streptophyta; Magnoliopsida; Poales; Poaceae
Description: long non-coding RNA (OBRA_LNC002268)
Source: RNAcentral
AUCUUACUCUCCCACUUUCACAGGCUGACCCGCUCGGUAGCUUACCGUAACUCGAUAGGUGAAUACCCAAGAUAUCCCCUCGGUGCCACAAUAGUGUGAUGUGUCCUUUCACGGACCACCACAUAUGCACAAGCAUGGAAUGUGGGUUUGAGAAUCCGAUACAACAUGUUUCACCCUGCUCCCUCAAAUUCAAAUAACCCACUCUACAGUGUUAAACAUGUAUGCGUUCACAUAGUACGUCAAUUACACUUACAUUCGCACUUCAUCUAACAGAGUUAAUUUAGAGGUACUAUAGUAUAUAUAUGCUGGCUAAAACCCAUCUAAAUUCUUUAUAUAUAUAGGACAACCCCACUAUACUAACACUUGAACCUAAUGGGCUGAAACUGAAAAUAGAACAGACCUGGACCGAAACACUACUAAUAGGCUUAGGUAUUAUACUUUGCUGAGUGAAUUUUCUCAUGAGACUGUAGUGGACCAAAGAGAGAUUAUUUACCUACCCCUCAAUGUAGACCAAAAUUUUCCUCCGGAUACAAUGUUGGGCUUGGAAGGUAUCAAGAAGUUCUCAAACAAUGUUUGGUACAUAAGUGGUCCAUGUGCUCCUGGCCCUAGUGUACGUAACUGCUAUGACGGGUUAUCUUGUUAAAAUGCAUGUACAGUGAAGACAUUGAAGGGCUCUAAGCAGCAUAGCAGGUUGAUUAACGAGCUUUGUAUAGCUUAAUUUAUCGUCCACACUCCCAUAAUAGAUUUAAUGCUAUCCAAAGUAAUUUUCAGUCUUGAAGGAGAUAUGUAGAUAUAUAUUUGAAACCAGGAAUUGGUAUUUCUCUAACUAUAUUAAUUGGUCGCUCGAACAUUUGACUUAAUAUAGUAAGUUCUGUUGACAAUUCCAUGCUUUAGUUCUAAACACCAAUUUCACAAGGGCGUAUAGUUCUAAACACCAAUUUCACAAGGGCGUAGAACGGUUAUUAUUAGCUGGCUGCCUCCAUUAUCAUGCGAGCAAAU